This 262-nucleotide long non-coding RNA is filed under the name Vulpes vulpes (red fox). RNAcentral's name for it is "lncRNA (ENSVVUG00000005706.1)". Lineage: Eukaryota; Metazoa; Chordata; Mammalia; Carnivora; Canidae. The record is from RNAcentral.
CAUCACACAAGAUCUGUCUCCAACACACUAAAAAUAGAAAGGAAUAGAAUAUCAGAUGCAUAUGGAGAAUGCCCUCCUUUCUACUUGGGUGGGAAGGGGACUGAGCAAUAUUUUAGCAGGGCCUGACCCCAUCACAUCUGGUUUCCUGUUUGAAAAUCCUUCACUUUGUGGAGGUUUUGCUGAUAACAAUGCUCAGAAUGAUCUCUAGGCAAUGGAAACUGACAGAAGAUGAAUUAUCUGCCACUCAGGAGGAUGCCCUGAC